GGAAAAUAGAAUCUCACAGAUCUUUCAACGCCGGGAGCUCUGGUAACCGAAGAGUCUUCUCUGUCAGAUAAUUAUUCCGCAAGUUUCUGUAACAUACAAAAAAAGAUUUGUUUUCGUAGAAGGAUUUAAAUAAAUUUAGCGAACAUAAUGAGGUGCAGUGUUAGUGCUAUUUACUAGAGGCAUCAUAUCUUUACAUAUAUUCAUUUUUGUCACUGUUGCUACAUUCAGCCCGAGUGAAAAGGGAUUUACUGCCUGCAAAGUCUGAAAAAUCAGCUGUUACGAUGGAAUUAUUAUCUGCCAGGAGUGUCUCGAGGGAAGAUAAUCCUCUAAAAUGUCCAGGACGAAUUUCCUUGAUGGAGUUAUUGGUGAGAAUCCUGGAGGCAGCCGUCUAGUCGAUGGUCUCGAGUAUCUGUGCCGUACGCGCAAAUUCGUAGAGCCCCUUGAUACCGUCUCUGUCGACAUGUAUAUCUGUGCAUGCGGACCCCAAAACCUCCCAUCUGACUUCAUCGAGUCCACUGCAUCUUGUGCAUAGGUGAUGACGAUUCUCCUCGUUGUUGUUGUUAAUAUCGUAUUUUACGAUUAGAUUUUUCUGUGUGUACCUCUAUAAAUAAAGUACUCUAAAUACUUUAUUUAUUUAUAAAUAAACGAAUAAAUAAAUAAAUAAUGUACUCACAGCCAAUACAGUCUUGACUGUCUCAAAAAAGCUCCUUCUCUCAAAUAUUCAAUUCCAUUCGAAAUGAGAAAUCUGAUAAAACCGAAUAUAUUUAUAUUUCAUUAAUUAGUUAGACUUUCUCUCGUUUCAAGUCCCAAAACUUUUACCAAACUAAUCUAUCAAAUUGAUCAAAUUCACUGAAACAGUUUUUUAGAUUUUUAUUGAAAUGUCAAUUAUUUCUUUUCCACAUUUUUUAAA
Molecule: long non-coding RNA, 910 nt
Organism: Diachasmimorpha longicaudata
Lineage: Eukaryota; Metazoa; Arthropoda; Insecta; Hymenoptera; Braconidae
Exons: 3
Source: RefSeq, a predicted model, not a curated record